GACGAACGCUGGCGGCGUGCUUAACACAUGCAAGUCGAACGGAAAGGCCCUGCUUUUUUGGGGUGCUCGAGUGGCGAACGGGUGAGUAACAAGUGAGUAACCUGCCCUUGACUUUGGGAUAACUUCAGGAAACUGGGGCUAAUACCGGAUAGGAGCGCCUGCUGCAUGGUGGGGGUUGGAAAGUUUCGGCGGUUGGGGAGGGACUCGGGGCUUAUCAGCUUGUUGGUGGGGUAGUGGCUUACCAAGGCUUUGACGGGUAGCCGGCCUGAGAGGGUGACCAGCCACAUUGGGACUGAGAUACGGCCCAGACUCCUACGGGAGGCAGCAGUGGGGAAUAUUGUACAAUGGGCGGAAGCCUGAUGCAGCAACGCCGCGUGCGGGAUGACGGCCUUCGGGUUGUAAACCGCUUUCGCCUGUGACGAAGCGUGAGUGACGGUAAUGGGUAAAGAAGCACCGGCUAACUACGUG
This 468-nucleotide ribosomal RNA is filed under the name uncultured bacterium. RNAcentral describes it as "partial 16S ribosomal RNA". It matches the Rfam family "Bacterial small subunit ribosomal RNA", at positions 28 to 507 of the family's 1533-position model. The record is from RNAcentral.